This 440-nucleotide ribosomal RNA is filed under the name uncultured bacterium. RNAcentral describes it as "partial 16S ribosomal RNA". It matches the Rfam family "Bacterial small subunit ribosomal RNA", at positions 338 to 795 of the family's 1533-position model. The record is from RNAcentral.
CCUACGGGAGGCAGCAGUAGGGAAUAUUGCUCAAUGGGGGAAACCCUGAAGCAGCAACGCCGCGUGGAGGAUGAAGGUUUUCGGAUUGUAAACUCCUUUUGUUAGAGAAGAUAAUGACGGUAUCUAACGAAUAAGCACCGGCUAACUCCGUGCCAGCAGCUCCGAUAAUACGGAGGGUGCAAGCGUAACUCGGAAUCACUGGGCGUAAAGAGGGCGUAGGCGGGAUAGCAAGACAGAUGUGAAAUCCUAUGGCUUAACCAUAGACCUGCAGUUGAAACUGUUAUUCUAGAGUAUGGGAGAGGUAGGUGGAAUGCGUGGUGUAGGGGUAAAAUCCGUAGAGAUCAAGAGGAAUACUCAUUGCGAAGGCGACCUGCUAGAACAUAACUGACGCUGAUGCGCGAAAGCGUGGGGAGCAAACAGGAUUAGAUACCCCAGUAGUC